AUACGGAUGGUGCGAGCGUUAUUCGGAAUCACUGGGCAUAAAGAGCACGUAGGCGGCUUUUCAAGUCAGUGGUGAAAUCCCCCGGCUCAACCGGGGAACUGCCAUUGAUACUGUAGAGCUAGAGUGUGGGAGGGGCAGACGGAAUUCCAGGUGGAGCGGUGAAAUGCGUAGAUAUCUGGAGGAACGCCAGAGGCGAAAGCGGUCUGCUGGCCCACAACUGACGCUGAGGUGCGAAAGCUAGGGGAGCGAACGGGAUUAGAUACCCUAGUAGUCC
Molecule: ribosomal RNA, 274 nt
Filed under: uncultured bacterium
Lineage: Bacteria
Description: partial 16S ribosomal RNA
Rfam family: Bacterial small subunit ribosomal RNA
Source: RNAcentral